CGGGCCCCGGGCGGGCGGGAGGGACGGGACGCGGUGCAGUGUUGUUUUUUCCCCCGCCAAUAUUGCACUCGUCCCGGCCUCCGGCCCCUCCGGCCC
Pongo abelii (Sumatran orangutan) is the source of this 96-nucleotide microRNA precursor. The record is from Ensembl. NCBI's taxonomy places the organism in Eukaryota, Metazoa, Chordata, Mammalia, Primates, Hominidae.